Molecule: non-coding RNA, 395 nt
Filed under: uncultured phage cr19_1
Lineage: Duplodnaviria; Heunggongvirae; Uroviricota; Caudoviricetes; Crassvirales; Suoliviridae
Source: RNAcentral
UAGGAUAGUAGUUUUUUUAAAGAAAUUAAAGAAAUUGACUGUUAGGUCUAUGAAUCAGUCGUAUGGACGAGGGUUUGAUCCCCUCCAGCUCCACUCACUAUGACGUCUAAGGUGACUUCUAUUGCUAGCAUCUCCCUCGAAGUAAAAUGAUAGGAAAUGCAUAGUAGGUAGGUUAGAUGUAAAUAUCUACUUACUACUGGGGGCUGAAUGAAUUUGACAGCGACAGUGUGAAGUAGAAUAGGUCAAUAAGCAGAUAACUGGCAAUACAAGUUAUAUUAUGAACUAUAGCCGUAUUGCGGCGUAAGUUCAAAACGGCUAAGCUAAUGUCGUAAAAAGCCACAUCGUGUCCCCGUGUGUAACAAAUAGGUUGUAGGGGUUCGGAAGCAUUCUCCUAC